This 253-nucleotide ribosomal RNA is filed under the name uncultured bacterium. RNAcentral's name for it is "partial 16S ribosomal RNA". It matches the Rfam family "Bacterial small subunit ribosomal RNA", at positions 524 to 776 of the family's 1533-position model. The record is from RNAcentral.
GACGGAGGAUGCAAGCGUUAUCCGGAAUGAUUGGGCGUAAAGCGUCCGCAGGUGGCAGUUCAAGUCUGCUGUCAAAGACCGGGGCUUAACUUCGGAAAGGCAGUGGAAACUGAACAGCUAGAGUAUGGUAGGGGCAGAGGGAAUUCCAGGUGUAGCGGUGAAAUGCGUAGAUAUCUGGAGGAACACCGGUGGCGAAGGCGGCAUCCUGGACCAACACUGACGCUGAGGAGCGAAAGCCAGGGGAGCAAACGGG